GGUGCCCUAGCUCAACUGGAUAGAGGAGCCCCGUCCUAAGGGGAUGGUUCGGGGUUCAAGUCCCUGGGACACCACCA
RNAcentral lists this transfer RNA (77 nucleotides) under Rhodovarius crocodyli. RNAcentral describes it as "Rhodovarius sp. CCP-6 tRNA-Arg". It matches the Rfam family "tRNA". From Rfam's summary of the family: Transfer RNA (tRNA) molecules are approximately 80 nucleotides in length. Their secondary structure includes four short double-helical elements and three loops (D, anti-codon, and T loops). The record is from RNAcentral. Lineage: Bacteria; Pseudomonadati; Pseudomonadota; Alphaproteobacteria; Acetobacterales; Roseomonadaceae.